This 67-nucleotide transfer RNA is filed under the name Helicocranchia sp. n SB-2022. Its description in RNAcentral is "tRNA-Asp". The record is from RNAcentral. Lineage: Eukaryota; Metazoa; Mollusca; Cephalopoda; Oegopsida; Cranchiidae.
GAAAAGUUAGUUAAUAUAUAACAUAAAAUUGUCAAUUUUAAAUUACUACAUAUCUUAGUACUUAUCA